Molecule: ribosomal RNA, 1674 nt
Filed under: Triticum aestivum (bread wheat)
Lineage: Eukaryota; Viridiplantae; Streptophyta; Magnoliopsida; Poales; Poaceae
Description: partial small subunit ribosomal RNA
Source: RNAcentral
AUGGAUGUGCGGCAGAGGCAGAGGAGGGUGGCGCCGCCGGCAGUGGGCCAUGCGGGGGCGCCCCGGGUGCUGCAGGCGGGGGACGCGCUGCCGCUCCCGAUCCGGCACACGAACCUCAUCUUCUCGGCGCUCUUCGCGGCCUCGCUCGCCUACCUGAUGCGGCGGUGGCGCGAGAAGAUCCGCUCCUCCACGCCGCUCCACGUCGUCGACCUCACCGAGAUUCUCUCCAUCUUCGGCCUCGUCGCCUCGCUCAUCUACCUGCUCAGCUUCUUCGGCAUCGCCUUCGUCCAGUCCAUCGUCUCGUCCAGCGACGAGGACGAGGAUUUCCUGGUCGGCCCUCCCGCCGCGCCGGCGCCGUCGCAGUGCGGGCUUCUCGGGGGUGCCGACGCGGUGGUGCCCGAGAAAAUGCCCGAGGAGGACGAGGAGAUUGUGGCCUCCGUCGUCGCCGGGAAGGUGCCCUCCUACGUGCUCGAGACCAGGCUCGGCGACUGCCGGCGGGCCGCGGGGCUCCGGCGCGAGGCCGUGCGGCGGAUCACGGGGAGGCAGUUCGAGGGUCUCCCGCUCGACGGCUUCGACUACGCGUCCAUCCUCGGGCAGUGCUGCGAGCUGCCGGUGGGGUACGUCCAGCUCCCCGUGGGCAUCGCCGGGCCGCUCCUGCUCGACGGCCAGCGGUUCUACGUGCCCAUGGCGACCACCGAGGGCUGCCUCGUCGCCAGCACCAACCGCGGCUGCAAGGCCAUAGCCGAGUCAGGUGGCGCCACCAGCGUUGUGCUCCGGGACGCGAUGACGCGCGCCCCCGUCGCCCGCUUCCCCACCGCGCGCCGCGCCGCCGAGCUCAAGGCCUUCUUGGAGGACCCCGCCAACUUCGAUACGCUGUCCGUUGUCUUCAACAGGUCGAGCAGAUUUGGGAGGCUGCAGGGAGUGCAGUGCGCGAUGGCCGGGAGGAACCUGUACAUGAGAUUCAGCUGCAGCACAGGGGAUGCCAUGGGGAUGAACAUGAUCUCCAAGGGCGUGCAGAACGUGCUGGAUUACCUCCAGGAUGACUUCCCUGACAUGGAUGUCAUUAGCAUAUCAGGUAACUUUUGUUCUGACAAGAAGCCAGCCGCUGUAAAUUGGAUCGAGGGGCGUGGCAAGUCUGUGGUUUGUGAAGCAGUAAUCAAGGAGGAAAUUGUGAAGAAGGUUCUGAAAACCAAUGUGCAGUCUCUAGUAGAACUAAAUGUGAUCAAGAAUCUUGCUGGCUCAGCUGUUGCUGGAGCUCUUGGGGGGUUCAAUGCCCACGCAAGCAAUAUUGUAACAGCUAUCUUCAUAGCCACCGGCCAGGAUCCUGCACAAAAUGUGGAAAGUUCUCAGUGCAUUACAAUGUUGGAAGCUGUAAAUGAUGGCAAAGAUCUUCACAUAUCUGUCACUAUGCCCUCUAUUGAGGUGGGCACAGUUGGUGGUGGGACUCAGUUGGCGUCACAGUCUGCAUGCCUGGACCUGCUGGGCGUGAAAGGCGCCAACAGGGAAUCGCCAGGAUCGAACGCGAGGCUCCUGGCCACCGUGGUGGCAGGCGGGGUUCUCGCCGGGGAGCUGUCCCUCUUGUCCGCCCUCGCCGCCGGCCAGCUCGUCAAGAGCCACAUGAAGUACAACAGAUCCAGCAGAGACAUGUCCAAGGCCGCAUCUCUAAGUUCUUGA